RNAcentral lists this ribosomal RNA (2970 nucleotides) under Tatumella sp. JGM91. RNAcentral's name for it is "23S ribosomal RNA". It matches the Rfam family "Bacterial large subunit ribosomal RNA". The record is from RNAcentral. Lineage: Bacteria; Pseudomonadati; Pseudomonadota; Gammaproteobacteria; Enterobacterales; Erwiniaceae.
GGUUAAGCGAAUAAGCGUACACGGUGGAUGCCCUGGCAGUCAGAGGCGAUGAAGGACGUGCUAAUCUGCGAUAAGCGUCGGUAAGGUGAUAUGAACCGUUAUAGCCGACGAUUUCCGAAUGGGGAAACCCGGUGCACUCAGUGCAUCAUCGCAACAUGAAUACAUAGUGUUGCGAAGCGAACCGGGGGAACUGAAACAUCUAAGUACCCCGAGGAAAAGAAAUCAACCGAGAUUCCCCCAGUAGCGGCGAGCGAACGGGGAGGAGCCCGGAACCAUCAUCAGUGUGUGUAUUAAUGGAAGCGUCCGGAAUGUCGCACGAUACAGGGUGAAAGUCCCGUACAUGAAAAUACACACAUUGUGAGUUCGAAGAGUAGGGCGGGACACGUGGUAUCCUGUCUGAAUAUGGGGGGACCAUCCUCCAAGGCUAAAUACUCCUGACUGACCGAUAGUGAACCAGUACCGUGAGGGAAAGGCGAAAAGAACCCCGGCGAGGGGAGUGAAAAGAACCUGAAACCGUGUACGUACAAGCAGUGGGAGCACCUUUUAUGGUGUGACUGCGUACCUUUUGUAUAAUGGGUCAGCGACUUAUAUUCUGUAGCAAGGUUAACCGAAUAGGGGAGCCGAAGGGAAACCGAGUCUUAACUGGGCGUUAAGUUGCAGGGUAUAGACCCGAAACCCGGUGAUCUAGCCAUGGGCAGGUUGAAGGUUGGGUAACACUAACUGGAGGACCGAACCGACUAAUGUUGAAAAAUUAGCGGAUGACCUGUGGCUGGGGGUGAAAGGCCAAUCAAACCGGGAGAUAGCUGGUUCUCCCCGAAAGCUAUUUAGGUAGCGCCUCGUGAAUUCAUCUCCGGGGGUAGAGCACUGUUUCGGCUAGGGGGCCAUCCCGGCUUACCAACCCGAUGCAAACUGCGAAUACCGGAGAAUGUUAUCACGGGAGACACACGGCGGGUGCUAACGUCCGUCGUGAAGAGGGAAACAACCCAGACCGCCAGCUAAGGUCCCAAAGUCACAGUUAAGUGGGAAACGAUGUGGGAAGGCUCAGACAGCCAGGAUGUUGGCUUAGAAGCAGCCAUCAUUUAAAGAAAGCGUAAUAGCUCACUGGUCGAGUCGGCCUGCGCGGAAGAUGUAACGGGGCUAAACUGUGCACCGAAGCUGCGGCAGCGACACUAUGUGUUGUUGGGUAGGGGAGCGUUCUGUAAGCCGUUGAAGGUGGUCUGUGAGGGCUGCUGGAGGUAUCAGAAGUGCGAAUGCUGACAUGAGUAACGAUAAAGCGGGUGAAAAGCCCGCUCGCCGGAAGACCAAGGGUUCCUGUCCAACGUUAAUCGGGGCAGGGUGAGUCGACCCCUAAGGCGAGGCUGAAAAGCGUAGUCGAUGGGAAACAGGUUAAUAUUCCUGUACUUGGUGUUACUGCGAAGGGGGGACGGAGAAGGCUAUGUCAUCCGGGCGACGGUUGUCCCGGUUUAAGCGUGUAGGCUGAGAUUCCAGGCAAAUCCGGAAUUUCACNNNNNNNNNNNNNNNNNNNNNNNNNNNNNNNNNNNNNNNNNNNNNNNNNNNNNNNNNNNNNNNNNNNNNNNNNNNNNNNNNNNNNNNNNNNNNNNNNACUGAAGUGACAAAUGCCCUGCUUCCGGGAAAAGCCUCUAAGCUCCAGGUAACACGAAAUCGUACCCCAAACCGACACAGGUGGUCAGGUAGAGAAUACCAAGGCGCUUGAGAGAACUCGGGUGAAGGAACUAGGCAAAAUGGUGCCGUAACUUCGGGAGAAGGCACGCUGGCGCGUAGGUGAAGGGACUUGCUCCCGGAGCUGAAGCCAGUCGAAGAUACCAGCUGGCUGCAACUGUUUAUUAAAAACACAGCACUGUGCAAACACGAAAGUGGACGUAUACGGUGUGACGCCUGCCCGGUGCCGGAAGGUUAAUUGAUGGGGUUAUCCGCAAGGAGAAGCUCUUGAUCGAAGCCCCGGUAAACGGCGGCCGUAACUAUAACGGUCCUAAGGUAGCGAAAUUCCUUGUCGGGUAAGUUCCGACCUGCACGAAUGGCGUAAUGAUGGCCAGGCUGUCUCCACCCGAGACUCAGUGAAAUUGAAAUCGCUGUGAAGAUGCAGUGUACCCGCGGCAAGACGGAAAGACCCCGUGAACCUUUACUAUAGCUUGACACUGACUAUUGAGCCUUGAUGUGCAGGAUAGGUGGGAGGCUUUGAAGUACGGACGCCAGUUCGUACGGAGCCAACCUUGAAAUACCACCCUUUAAUGUUUGAUAGUCUAACGUAGACCCGUAAUCCGGGUUGCGGACAGUGUCUGGUGGGUAGUUUGACUGGGGCGGUCUCCUCCCAAAGAGUAACGGAGGAGCACGAAGGUUAGCUAAUCACGGUCGGACAUCGUGAGGUUAGUGCAAAGGCAUAAGCUAGCUUGACUGCGAGAGUGACGGUUCGAGCAGGUGCGAAAGCAGGUCUUAGUGAUCCGGUGGUUCUGAAUGGAAGGGCCAUCGCUCAACGGAUAAAAGGUACUCCGGGGAUAACAGGCUGAUACCGCCCAAGAGUUCAUAUCGACGGCGGUGUUUGGCACCUCGAUGUCGGCUCAUCACAUCCUGGGGCUGAAGUAGGUCCCAAGGGUACGGCUGUUCGCCGUUUAAAGUGGUACGCGAGCUGGGUUUAGAACGUCGUGAGACAGUUCGGUCCCUAUCUGCCGUGGGCGCUGGAGAAUUGAGGGGGGUUGCUCCUAGUACGAGAGGACCGGAGUGAACGCACCACUGGUGUUCGGGUUGUCAUGCCAAUGGCAUUGCCCGGUAGCUAAGUGCGGAAAAGAUAAGUGCUGAAAGCAUCUAAGCACGAAACUUGCCCCGAGAUGAGUUCUCCCUGACUCCUUGAGAGUCCUGAAGGGACGUUGAAGACUACGACGUUGAUAGGCCGGAUGUGUAAGUGCAGCGAUGCAUUGAGCUAACCGGUACUAAUGACCCGUGAGGCUUAACCUU